Molecule: ribosomal RNA, 253 nt
Filed under: uncultured bacterium
Lineage: Bacteria
Description: partial 16S ribosomal RNA
Rfam family: Bacterial small subunit ribosomal RNA
Source: RNAcentral
UACGUAGGCAGCAAGCGUUGUUCGGAGUUACUGGGCGUAAAGGGUGUGUAGGCGGUCCUCUAAGUUUGGCGUGAAAUCUCCCGGCUCAACUGGGAGGGUGCGCCGAAAACUGGAGGGCUAGAGUACUGGAUGGGAGAGUGGAAUUCCUGGUGUAGCGGUGAAAUGCGUAGAUAUCAGGAGGAACACCUGUGGUGUAGACGGCUCUCUGGACAGUAACUGACGCUGAGACACGAAAGCGUGGGUAGCAAACAGG